This 1158-nucleotide unclassified non-coding RNA is filed under the name Hevea brasiliensis (rubber tree). Lineage: Eukaryota; Viridiplantae; Streptophyta; Magnoliopsida; Malpighiales; Euphorbiaceae. The record is from RNAcentral.
GAAAAACACGCUCUGUCGGUUUCUUUCUCUCUCUGUUUUCUCUACAUUUGCGCUUCUUUUUUCUCUCCGUUUUCUGUUUCCCUGCCCAUUUCCCUUGUUGGCUCUCUUUCUCUCUCCUUCUCUCUCAUUCUUUAUGUUCAAGAUAUGAUUAUAGCUUUACUGAGUCACAGCCGGGUGGAUUUCUUCUGCCUUUCUAGAACAACCCCUUAGCUUUCCUUCUCUCCCUCCUCUCUAUAAAGGAAAAACAAGGGUGGUUUUUGUUAUGAUGGAUGAUGUCGGGGAAAGGAAAUCAUUGCAUGAUAAAGAAGAAUACAAGAAUAUUGAGAUCAAGAAGUCUUGUACUGAUUGCAAAACUACCAGGACACCCUUGUGGAGAGGUGGACCUGCUGGGCCCAAGUCACUGUGCAAUGCAUGCGGGAUCAGAUACAGAAAGAAAAGAAGAGCAAUGUUGAGCUUAGACAAAGACAAGGAUUCAGACAAGAAAAAGAGAAGAGGCCAUAGCGCCACCACCCUUACCACUACCACUGCAAAUAGCAGCACAAUUGCUACCUCAGCCAGCAGCGUUAAUGAUGGUAGUGUAUUGGGGGAGUCAUUGAAGAUGAGACUAAUAGUAGUGGGUGAGAAAAUGAUGUUUGAAAGAUCAUCAAUAGUCAGGAAACAAAGGUGCCAAAGGAAGAGGAGACUGAGAGAGGAAGAACAAGCUGCUUUUUCUUUAAUGGCGUUGUCUUGUGGCUCAGUUCUUGCAUGAAACAGGAAAAGAAGAGAAACAGAAUGGGGAUAAAGCUGAACAACCUCUAGAGAACCCACAUACCUUUUCUUUGUCCGUUUUUUAUUAGUUUUUUUUUUUUCCUAGAAAAAAAAAGUUAGUAGUAGUUUUGUUAGUGUAGUGAAGGGGAUGCAAUGUUGUUAAUGGGUGUCUUUACCUUUCUUCUUCUCCAUUUUCAUAGGAAGAUGAUGAAGUGGUGAAGUAAUGGUGAUAUAGUGUAGAUAGUAUUUUCGGAAUUAUGAACGAAAUAUAUGUUCUCCUAGAUAUGGGAUUUUAUAAUUGUUUGCCUUUUUUUCUAAUUUCUAUCUCCUUUUCCAUGUGAGUUGUGACCUUCCAAGUAUAAUUCUUUAAUCUUUUAAAACUGCCAAAUUCUGUUGCUGCAAUUGAUCGGU